This 382-nucleotide ribosomal RNA is filed under the name uncultured bacterium. Its description in RNAcentral is "bacterial SSU rRNA". It matches the Rfam family "Bacterial small subunit ribosomal RNA", at positions 28 to 419 of the family's 1533-position model. The record is from RNAcentral.
GACGAACGCUGGCGGCGUGCUUAACACAUGCAAGUCACGGGGGGCCCGCAAGGGUCAACCGGCGAACGGGUGCGUAACACGUGAGCGACCUGCCCAAUUGCGGGGGAUAGCCGGCCCAACGGCCGGGUAAUACCGCAUACGCUUCCCUGGGGGCAUUCUUGGGGAAGGAAACCUACGGGGCGAUUGGAGGGGCUCGCGGCCUAUCAGCUAGUUGGCGAGGUAACGGCUCACCAAGGCGAUGACGGGUAGCUGGUCUGAGAGGAUGGCCAGCCACAUUGGGACUGAGAGACGGCCCAGACUCCUACGGGAGGCAGCAGUGGGGAAUCUUGCGCAAUGGCCGAAAGGCUGACGCAGCGACGCCGCGUGGAGGAUGACGCCCUUC